CGCAAGCCUGACGGAGCAAGAUCGCGUGCGGGAUGACGGCCUAAUGGUUGUAAACCGCUUUUCUCUGGGAAGAUGAUGACGGUACCAGAGGAAUCAGCCUCGGCUAACUCCGUGCCAGCAGCCGCGGUAAUACGGAGGAGGCAAGCGUUAUCCGGAAUUAUUGGGCGUAAAGCGUCCGUAGGUGGUUAUUCAAGUCUGCUGUCAAAGCGUGGGGCUUAACUCCAUAGAGGCAGUGGAAACUGGAUGACUUGAGUGCGGUAGGGGUCGAGGGAAUUCCCAGUGUAGCGGUGAAAUGCGUAGAUAUUGGGAAGAACACCAGUGGCGAAAGCGCUCGACUGGGCCUGCACUGACACUGAGGGACGAAAGCUAGGGGAGCG
This 377-nucleotide ribosomal RNA is filed under the name uncultured cyanobacterium. Its description in RNAcentral is "bacterial SSU rRNA". It matches the Rfam family "Bacterial small subunit ribosomal RNA", at positions 376 to 770 of the family's 1533-position model. The record is from RNAcentral. Lineage: Bacteria; Bacillati; Cyanobacteriota.